CGAGCGGGCGUAGCAAUACGUCAGCGGCAGACGGGUGAGUAACGCGUGGGAAAGUACCUUUUGGUUCGGAACAACACAGGGAAACUUGUGCUAAUACCGGAUAAGCCCUUACGGGGAAAGAUUUAUCGCCGAAAGAUCGGCCCGCGUCUGAUUAGCUAGUUGGUAGGGUAAUGGCCUACCAAGGCGACGAUCAGUAGCUGGUCUGAGAGGAUGAUCAGCCACAUUGGGACUGAGACACGGCCCAAACUCCUACGGGAGGCAGCAGUGGGGAAUAUUGGACAAUGGGGGCAACCCUGAUCCAGCCAUGCCGCGUGAGUGAUGAAGGCCCUAGGGUUGUAAAGCUCUUUUGUGCGGGAAGAUAAUGACGGUACCGCAAGAAUAAGCCCCGGCUAACUUCGUGCCAGCAGCCGCGGUAAUACGAAGGGGGCUAGCGUUGCUCGGAAUCACUGGGCGUAAAGGGUGCGUAGGCGGGUUUUUAAGUCAGGGGUGAA
This 491-nucleotide ribosomal RNA is filed under the name uncultured bacterium. RNAcentral describes it as "bacterial SSU rRNA". It matches the Rfam family "Bacterial small subunit ribosomal RNA", at positions 63 to 598 of the family's 1533-position model. The record is from RNAcentral.